RNAcentral lists this ribosomal RNA (509 nucleotides) under uncultured bacterium. RNAcentral describes it as "bacterial SSU rRNA". It matches the Rfam family "Bacterial small subunit ribosomal RNA", at positions 17 to 518 of the family's 1533-position model. The record is from RNAcentral.
UUCUGGCUCAGGAUGAACGCUGGCGGCGUGCCUAAUACAUGCAAGUCGUACGAGGGAAGUCCAGCUUGCUGGACGGAACGAGUGGCGAACGGGUGAGUAAUACGUAAGCAACCUGCCUGCAAGGACUGGGAUAACACCUGGAAACGGGCGCUAAUACCGGAUAGGUAACAAAGGGGCAUCCCUAUGUUAUUAAAGGUUAGAAACACAAGCAGAUGGGCUUACGGUGCAUUAGCUAGUUGGUGAGGUAACGGCCCACCAAGGCGAUGAUGCAUAGCCGGCCUGAGAGGGUGAACGGCCACAUUGGGACUGAGACACGGCCCAGACUCCUACGGGAGGCAGCAGUAGGGAAUUUUCGGCAAUGGACGAAAGUCUGACCGAGCAACGCCCGCGUGAGUGAAGAAGGUUUUCGGAUUGUAAAGCUCUGUUGUAAGGGAAGAACAGCACGGAAAGAAUCCGUGAAUGACGGUACCUUACCAGAAAGCCACGGCUAACUACGUGCCAGCCGCGGC